RNAcentral lists this ribosomal RNA (483 nucleotides) under uncultured bacterium. RNAcentral's name for it is "partial 16S ribosomal RNA". It matches the Rfam family "Bacterial small subunit ribosomal RNA", at positions 28 to 523 of the family's 1533-position model. The record is from RNAcentral.
GACGAACGCUGGCGGCGUGCUUAACACAUGCAAGUCGAACGGUGAAGGUGGAGCUUGCUCCGCCGGAUCAGUGGCGAACGGGUGAGUAACACGUGGGCAACCUGCCCCAGACUCCGGGAUAACUCCUCGAAAGAGGUGCUAAUACCGGACACGAACUGCUUGGGCAUCCUUGGAGUUGGAAAGUUUUUCGGUCUGGGAUGGGCCCGCGGCCUAUCAGCUUGUUGGUGAGGUAACGGCUGACCAAGGCGGCGACGGGUAGCCGGCCUGAGAGGGCGACCGGCCACACUGGGGCUGAGACACGGGCCAGACUCCGACGGGAGGCAGCAGUGGGGAAUAUUGCGCAAUGGGCGAAAGCCUGACGCAGCAACGCCGCGUGAGGGAUGACGGCCUUCGGGUUGUAAACCUCUUUCAGCAGGGAAGAAGCGAAAGUGACGGUACCUGCAGAAGAAGCACCGGCUAACUACGUGCCAGCAGCCGCGGUAA